This is a long non-coding RNA of Anneissia japonica, 1410 nucleotides long. RefSeq lists it as uncharacterized. NCBI's taxonomy places the organism in Eukaryota, Metazoa, Echinodermata, Crinoidea, Comatulida, Comatulidae. The transcript has 5 exons. The record is from RefSeq and is a predicted model, not a curated record.
CAGAGUCUGCUGGUACGGUAUGGAUAGGCACUACAUAUGAUGGCAUGAUGAGGAAUGUUAAGACUGCAGAAAUGUGUGUUUUUGGAGACUUCAUCCAUGCACUAUGAUACAGAUAAAUCGUACCAUAGUGAUGGAAGGUUGCGCACCAAUUUACACAACAGUUAUUUUUAAUGAUUCGUGCAAAGUGGCAACAAAAAGCAGAUGGUGCCAAGUAAUAGCAGGGAGUGAAUAACUUUUCGUCGGCUAACGGUCGGUCGGCCGUCUAACCGAUCCAGUGUAUGACUACGUAAAGAACUACAAUUCCCCAGACUAAAGAAGCUCGACACCAUUCAGUCACAGAACUACAAAGAAUACAACAUACGCAUAUUGACGCCAAAAUAAUGUAGAAAUCAGUGAUGGCACCAGGGGCGCUUUGCACAUACCUAGACCCCCAUUGUUCGACACUUAAACAAGGUCUAAUAAGUAGUUAGACGAUUACGGAACUUAGCCUACAAAAAGCAGCCGCAUAAUGGAAGAUUUCUGUUGCGCACGUGCUAUGAACGACUUGCAGCUACGCAAGACUUGUCUCUGUUUUUUGUGCCUAUUUGUUUGUAUUUGUUUGUUUGUACAUGCAAUAAGUGUUUUAUAGCCACUAUUUACUGUUAUUAAUCUAAAAAAUUCUCUAUUUCUUUAUUGCAUACAAUUGGACAGAGUAAAUCCAGUUAUCUGAAUGGACGGUUUCCUGGUGUGUACGAAUAGACACUACAUGUGAUUACAUGAUGUGGAAGAAUAAUGAUAUUCUGCGUUGCGAUGUCAGUUGUGCGCUAUAAUUGAUCUUUAACAGAUAAAUUAUACCAUGAAGAAAAUUUCUCAAGUUGCUCAACAAUCAUUGUUAACGGUGUGCUCAAUAAGUAGAUGGUGCUGCCUUGUCAUCUUUCACAGAGCAGAUACAAACUACCAAACUACAUAAUUUUCAGUUAUUGGAAUAGACAUGUGGAAUGACCAAAUUCUUUAUGAUUUGCGGUACGGUAUGGAUAGACAUUACAUGUGAUGCCAUCAAUCAACAGAUGCACUGAUGUUUAAAUAACAUAGAACGAACAAUUUUCCAAAUAAAGAAAGGGCACCCAUGAUUCGACGUCGGUAUGGAUAGACAUUACAUGUGAUGACAUCAAUCAACAGAUGCACUGAUGUUUAAAUAACAUAGAACGAACAAUUUUCCAAAUAAAGAAAGGGCACCCAUGAUUCGACGUCAUGAUUGGGUCAUCUUCAGGAAUGACAUGUGGAAUGUUUAGACUGGACUAAAUAUGCUGCAUUGAUAAUGACAUCUGUUGUACGCUACGGCAGUUUUGAAACUUAACGACUGAAAAUCCAUGACUCAAUUGUUGCUGAUGUGAGGCGGACUCCUGGAGAUGGACCGUGAAGUGGGCCAUG